GCCGGGCAUAGUGGCGCAUGCCUGUAAUCUCAGUGUCUCGGGAGGCUGAGACAGGAGCGUGGAGAGUUCAAAGCCAACCUUAGCCCCCAGAAAGGUGAGGUGCUAAGCAACUCAGUGAGACCCUGUUUCUA
Molecule: small RNA, 131 nt
Filed under: Marmota monax (woodchuck)
Lineage: Eukaryota; Metazoa; Chordata; Mammalia; Rodentia; Sciuridae
Source: RNAcentral